This 468-nucleotide ribosomal RNA is filed under the name uncultured bacterium. Its description in RNAcentral is "partial 16S ribosomal RNA". It matches the Rfam family "Bacterial small subunit ribosomal RNA", at positions 28 to 507 of the family's 1533-position model. The record is from RNAcentral.
GACGAACGCUGGCGGCGUGCUUAACACAUGCAAGUCGAACGGAAAGGCCCUGCUUUUGUGGGGUGCUCGAGUGGCGAACGGGUGAGUAACACGUGAGUAACCUGCCCUGGACUUUGGGAUAACUUCAGGAAACUGGGGCUAAUACCGGAUAGGAGCUCCUGCUGCAUGGUGGGGGUUGGAAAGUUUCGGCGGUUGGGGAUGGACUCGCGGCUUAUCAGCUUGUUGGUGGGGUAGUGGCUUACCAAGGCUUUGACGGGUAGCCGGCCUGAGAGGGUGACCGGCCACCAUGGGCCUGCGAUAGGGCGCAGACUCCUACGGGAGGCAGCAGUGGGGAAUAUUGCACAAUGGGCGGAAGCGUGAUACAGCAACGCCGCGUGCGGGAUGACGGCCUGCGGGUUGUAAACCGCUUUCGCCUGUGACGAAGCGUGAGUGACGGUAACGGGUAAAGAAGCACCGGCUAACUACGUG